This 4675-nucleotide long non-coding RNA is filed under the name Gossypium barbadense (sea-island cotton). Its description in RNAcentral is "long non-coding RNA (GBAR_LNC005267)". Lineage: Eukaryota; Viridiplantae; Streptophyta; Magnoliopsida; Malvales; Malvaceae. The record is from RNAcentral.
GCCUCUAUUCCAUUACAUUCAACCAAACAGUUGAUUUGAUAUUACACCUCUAUUCCAUUACACCUCUAAUCCAAUAAACCUCUAAUCCAAUACAGCGAACCAAACGUACCCUAAAAAUUUGAGCUAAAAUUUCAAAUUCACUAGAAUUUUGAACACUUACAGAUAUGAAACGUCAGUUUCGCGAAGCAGAUCAGCAAUUCGACUAGCCUGAGCUUAUUAAUUUGCUGUCGGUUCAAAGACCUGGAAGCUCCAACAGCUGGGUCGUCAAACAGCCGGAGCUCCAGAUUCGAAGCACCACAGAAAACAGGCAACGAAGGAAGCGGCAAGCACUGCGCCACCUCGGAUUGGAUGGUGUGUGGUUUGCAUAAAAAACCACCAUUAGUAGAAUAUAAUGUUAGCUUCACGGAAGUUAUUGCAUAAAAAAAAUUAUCUUAUAUGCCAAAUACAAGAAAAAUGAAAGUUUUUUAAAACUAAAUAUAUUAAAUUGAAAUUCGGUUCACAGCUCUAAUCAUCUGUUAACAAUUUAUUAACAAGUUGAAAUCUUUUUAAACUAUAGAGAACGGAGACAGAGAGAGAAAACCUGUAGUUCAAAACCAGUAUAUAAAAAGAGCAGGAAGGAACUCAACAUAGCUAAUUUGAGACAAGUGAGUUGACUUCAUGACAAAACAAAAAAGAAAACAACGAAAAAAUCGAAUUAUAACGCCCAGUCCUUUUACAUUUUCUAGCCAACCAGACAGAUCAAAAUGUACAAAAUCUAACAACCACCCCAAAAGCCGCAAUUACAUUACCGAAAAUUUAAAAUAUUUUUAUAAGAAAUAAAAUUUAAAAAUCAGGGAAAGAAGGGGAGGAAAGCCAACGAGAAAAAAGAGAGAUAGGAAAAACAACCAGAAAUGGCCAUGGCGAAUCCACAACCGCCACCGCAUACGUCGGUCCAAGAAUGGUCAAUGGAAUCCGGAAUCGGCACAAGAACCGGCGAUACAAGCGGAGCUCGUUGCGGUAACGGUCCAGGUAAAUAUCCCCACAUGAAAAGCACACUCUCUCUAUUAACUACCUCCAUUUUUGUUCGGAGAGUUGAAAAUGAGUGGUUCUUUUAGUAAAUAUUGUAGGAAUCUAACGGUAAUUUAAAAGGAAUUAGGGUUUCAUUUGAAAAAACCAAGUACAGAAGAAGUUUUGAGCCCUAAGAAAAAAGAGAACAGAUUUGAGAAGAAAGGAAAAAGAAAUUGAAAAGAGAUAAAAUAAAUGGGGAAAAAGUGUGAAUUUUUUUUUUGGGGAGUGCAAAAAUAUAAGAAUUCAAAUUGAUGAAAAAAUAUAAAUAUUGAAAAUUAAAAUUUACCAUGAUCAACUCUUUUAGAAAUUAAGUUGAUAGAUGGGUAUGGCAUGGUCUAGUAUUGUUGAAAGGAUUUCUUUUUCAAUAUGAAAUUUUAAUCAUGGUUUAAAUGUAUAUUUGAAAUUUUAAUUUUAAUUUAAUCAUACAUAUUUUAAAAAAUAAAUAUAUUAAUUUAUUUUUAUAUUGAAUAAAUAUAAAUAUUUAUGUAUGCAAUAUAUAAAUAUAAAAUGAUGUUAUAUCAAUAAUUGUGUUAAUAAUUUACAAGAACUGAAUCAAAUUAAAUUUCAUAUAUACAAUUGCACAGUAAACCAUUGUUCAUGUAUGCUUUUGGGAUUUAUCCCAUUUUAAUAUUUUAUUUUUUAAAAAAUAAUAAUUUAUAUUUAUCUUAUUUAUGAUUAAAAUUUUUAAAUAUAUAUAAUAUAAAAUUUUGAAAUAUUUAUAUUAAAAAAACUCUAAAAUCAUAAACCCCAAACCUAUAAACACAAAACCUAAAAUCCAAACUCACAAACACAAAACCGUAAAAUCUUAAAUUAUAAACUAUAAUCCCUAAACCUUAAACACUAAACCUUAAACCAUAAACUAAAUUAAUUUUUUGCGGCAUUUUUAUUAAAAACCUUAUUCACACUCGAAGCUAUUAAGUCAUUUUUAAUUUGAAUAUAUAUAAUUAUUCACACUCAUGAUGUAAAAUUUUAAGAAUAUUCAUAUUUUAAAUCCAAACAUAUUAGUUUAAGAUAUUAAUACCAUAAUUUUUUAUUUAAUAUAAAUUAAUUUAUUAGAAAAGUGAUAAGUGGUACAUUGGGAGUUAGUACAUAAGAGUUCUUCUUUUCAUAUGGCAACACUUUUAUAUAGUUGGGAAAGCUAUAACACAAGUCGGCAUAGUGUUCACAAAGUCGAAUCUUAUUUAAGUGUUGCCUUAGGCAUGUAUAUACCAAUUCUUAUCCAAAGAGUUGGCCAAAACGUAUGCCGACAAGUCUAUCCCAACACUUAGCAAAGUGUCGGCAUAGUGUUAAACAAAGCCGACUCUUAAUUAAGCGUUGUCUUAGGCAUGCAUAUCCUACCUCUUAUACAAAGGGUUGGCAAAAGUGUGUAUCAACAAGUCUAUCCCAACACUUAGGAAAGUGUCGGCCUAAAAGUGUCGGCAUAGUGUUGGACAAAGCCGACUUUUAUUUAAGCGUUGCCUUAGACAUGCAUAUCCCAACUCUUAUAUAAAGAGUUGGCCAAAGUGUAUAUCGACAAAUCUAUCCCAACACUUAGGAAAGUGUUAGCCCAAAAGUGUCGGCAUAGUGUUAGAAAAAGUCGACUCUUAUUUAAGCAUUGCCUUAGGCAUGCAUAUCCCAACUCUUAUACAAAGUGUUGGCCAAAGUGUAUGUCGACAAGUUUAUCCUAACACUUAAGAAAGUGUCGUAAUAGGCCUGUUUUGUGACAACCCUAAAUUGACCCUAGUCGGAAAGUGGUUUCGGGACCACGAAAUUGAGUCUUAUAAAUAAUUAAAGGUUAUAUUCUGUGUUUAUGAUGUGCGUAAAUGCUUGUGUGAUAGCUCCAUACUUUAAUUUGGUCAGUGUAUGUGAAAUUUAUUAGUAGGGACUUAUGUGAGACAAUUUAGAAAUAUGCUAGGCAAGUGUUAAAGUGGCCUAUUAAUAUAUGUGGGAAAGUGCUUGUCCUUGCAUGUCAAAUUAGCCAAACUAUAGGUAGUGGCCGGCCAUGCUACAAAUUAUAUAAUCAAGUGUGAAUUUUAUAUUAACUUUAAUUAGCUAGGUGCCAUGUUAGUAUGGAGGAUGUAAUAAAAUAAAGAAAUGAUAAUUAAAGGAAGGGAUGGGUGAAAGAAAAAAAAAGGGAAAAAAGAGGUCAUCAUCCAUGUUUCUUCCUAGCCGAUUCUAAAGAGAAAAAAAAAGAGAGAGCAAGAGCAUUCGGUGAUGAAAACAAGUUGUGUUCUUUGGUUCUUCUUGGCCGAAUUGAAAGGAGGAAGAAAGGAGUGAAGCAAUCGGUCAUCUUAGGUCAAUAAUAAGGUAAGGAAGUUGAUACUAGUUCUUGAAAUCCUAGUUGAUAUUGAGUGAGAUAUCAAGUUAUUGUUGGUAACCCAUGUUGAAAUUGUGAUUUUGGAAUAAGUAAGGUUUUCGGCUAUGGAGAUUAAUAAGGGUGAUGGUUGUGUUUCAUGCUAAAUCUAGAUGAACAAUGGUAGUUUGUUUACAACUUGAUAUUUAUGAGUUCCUUUCUUGGUUCUACCUUAGAUCCAUAAGUAUGAUUUAUGCUUGUUAUGUUACUCAUGGUUAAAAUGAUUCGGCUAUGGUUCAUGUAAAAAAAUAAAAUAUACAUGUGAAUUUGGUUAUACAUGAUUUGGUAUUAAAUGAUAUUAGGUUAUAUUCGAACAUAGGAAGAGUUUAUUUUGAUAUGCUUAUUACAUGGUAGGUAAGAUUUGUGUUUUGGAUAUAUGCUUAUAUUUGGUUAAUGAUUUAUUCUUGUGAAGUAUAAAUUUGUAACAUGAAUUGAGUUGGAAGUUAUUAUAAUGUACUUGUGCAUUCGGGUAUAUGAUGAAAAUAUAUGAGGUGGUUAUAAUCAACUUUGUGAUUCGGCUCUUGCACAUGUAUAUAUAUUUUCACAUGAUGUACUGGUAUGACAUUAUAUAUUAUCUCAAGGUAUAUAUUUAUAUAUGGUGGUGUUUCAGUUAUGGAGUAAAUGAUGGAUACGUAUUGAGUUAUAAUAUGUAAUGCAUUAGUUAGUAAAAUGUAUGUCAUUUAUAUGUGGUAUUAAGUAUAUAAUUGGCCUCAACAUAGACAUGCAUAUUCGGCCACAUGAGAUGGAUGGGUGAUGCAUGUAUUCGAUUAGAGGCAAGCAUAUUAAUGCUUUUAUCUUGGCUUAGAUAAUCGGCUAAAAGAGAGUGUGGGCGAAAAUGUUGAGUUUGAUUCAUGAUUACAUAUAUAUGUGACUCUAAUGUCUAAUGUAUAUAUGGGUUAAGUACCUUGAGUUUCUCUUUUCGAUGCUCAAAUGAUUAAAUCAAUUUAUUUGUUAAAUUAAGCUCAAGAGCAAAGGGGAACUAAAUCCGAUAAAGGAAAGGAAAAAGUGGUCGAAUAGCCAUCGAAAUCGUUUGACAACAUCCGAGGUAAGUUUUCGAGUAACGAGACUUAGUUUACAAUUUGAUUAAGUCAUGACGUAUGAGCAUAACAAAUAUCCGGUGAUAUGAUGAUUCUACUUGAAUUAUAUGUUAAGUUAAUUAGUCUAUAUGUAUGACGGGUAGCCGUAUGUGCAUAGAGAUCGUGUCAUAAAGCAAACUAAACCAUGCUGUUUGUAUGUGUCAAAGUGUCUCGUCUAAACCAUGAUUUAGGCCGAUCUAGAGACACUUCGGGCUUUUCU